AUACGGAGGGAGCAAGCGUUAUUCGGAAUCACUGGGCGUAAAGGACGCGUAGGCGGGUUUGUAAGUCAGGUGUGAAAUCCUACAGCUCAACUGUAGAACUGCACUUGAAACUACAGACCUAGAGUAUGGAAGGGGCAGAUGGAAUUAGUGGUGUAGGGGUAAAAUCCGUAGAUAUCACUAGGAAUACCGAAAGCGAAGGCGAUCUGCUGGGACAUUACUGACGCUGAGGCGUGAAAGCGUGGGGAGCAAACAGCAUUAGAUACCCUAGUAGUCC
Molecule: ribosomal RNA, 274 nt
Filed under: uncultured bacterium
Lineage: Bacteria
Description: partial 16S ribosomal RNA
Rfam family: Bacterial small subunit ribosomal RNA
Source: RNAcentral